GACCCCCCCACCCCCAGGCCUGCGAGGAGGAGGACUACAUCCGCUGGCUGAAGGGACAGGGGGACGUCCCCAAGGAGGAGCGGCUGCAGGACCUGGUCAGGGCAGCCAUGUGUCCCCGUGUCCUCAUGUCCCUGUGUCUUCGUGUCCUCAUGUCCCUGUGUCCUCAUGUCCCUGUGUCCCCAUGUUCCUGUGUCUUCAUGUCCCUGUGUCUCAGCGUCUCCGUGUCCCCAUGUCCCUGUGUCCCCAUAUCCCUGUCCCCGUGUCCCCAUGUCCCUGUGUUCCCACAUCCCCAAGCCUUGUGUCCCCAUGUCCCUAAACCCUAUAUCUGUGUCCCUAUCUCUCUGUCCUCGUUCCCAUGUCCCUGUUCCCUCAUCCUAGAAGCUCUCCCAACAUCUGUGACCCCACAUCCCUGUGUCCCCGUGUCCCCAAAGCCCUCCCAUGUCCCCAUAUCCCCACAUCCCUGUGUCCCCAUGUCCCCAAGCCCUCCAUCCUUAUCCUGUCUCCUUGUCCCCAAGGCUUCCUUCAUCUGUGUCCCUGUCCCCAUGUCCC
RNAcentral lists this long non-coding RNA (549 nucleotides) under Phasianus colchicus (ring-necked pheasant). RNAcentral's name for it is "lncRNA (ENSPCLG00000016475.1)". The record is from RNAcentral. Lineage: Eukaryota; Metazoa; Chordata; Aves; Galliformes; Phasianidae.